RNAcentral lists this ribosomal RNA (466 nucleotides) under uncultured bacterium. RNAcentral's name for it is "partial 16S ribosomal RNA". It matches the Rfam family "Bacterial small subunit ribosomal RNA", at positions 28 to 507 of the family's 1533-position model. The record is from RNAcentral.
GACGAACGCUGGCGGUGUGCUUAACACAUGCAAGUCGAACGGUAAGGCCCUUUCGGGGGUACACGAGUGGCGAACGGGUGAGUAACACGUGAGUAACCUGCCCUCAUCUCUGGGAUAACAGUCGGAAACGGUUGCUAAUACUGGAUAUGAGCUUGCAAGGCAUCUUGUGGGUUGGGAAGAUUUUUUUGGUUGGGGAUGGACUCGCGGCCUAUCAGCUUGUUGGUGAGGUAGUGGCUCACCAAGGCUUCGACGGGUAGCCGGCCUGAGAGGGCGACCGGCCACAUUGGGACUGAGAUACGGCCCAAACGCCUACGGGAGGCAGCAGUGGGGAAUAUUGCACAAUGGACGGAAGUCUGAUGCAGCAACGCCGCGUGCGGGAUGACGGCCUUCGGGUUGUAAACCGCUUUCAAUUGUGACGAAGCUUUUUGUGACGGUAGCAGUAGAAGAAGCACCGGCUAACUACGUG